Molecule: ribosomal RNA, 1495 nt
Filed under: Bacillus thuringiensis
Lineage: Bacteria; Bacillati; Bacillota; Bacilli; Caryophanales; Bacillaceae
Description: bacterial SSU rRNA
Rfam family: Bacterial small subunit ribosomal RNA
Source: RNAcentral
CGGGGGACUACAGAAGGAUCGCGGCUAUCUGCAGUCGAGCGAUGGAUUAAGAGCUUGCUCUUUUGACUUUAGCGGGGGACGGGUGAGUAACACGUGGGUAACCUGGCCUGAAGACUGGGAUAACUCCGGGAAACCGGGGCUAAUACCGGAUAACCUUUUGAACAGCAUGGAGCGAAAUUGAAAGGCGGCUUCGGCUGUCACUUAUGGAUGGGCCCGCGGCGCAUUAGCUAGUUGGUGAGGCAACGGCUCACCAAGGCCACGAUGCGUAGCCAACCUGAGAGGGUGAUCUGCCACACUGAGACUGAGACACGGCCCACACUCCUACGGGAGGCAGAAUAAGGGAAUCUUCCGCAAUGGACGAAAGCCUGAUGGAGCAACCCCCGCGGGAGUGAUAAAAAGUUUUCGGAUCUAAAACUCUGUUGUAAGGGAAGAAAGAGUGCUUACCUGUUAACAACCUGCCACCAUUGACGGAACCUAACCCGAAAAAGCCUCCGGGUUAACUACGCCCCAGCAACCCGGAUAAGUACGAAGGGGACAAGCGGAUUUAUCCGGAAUUAUUGGGGCGUAAAGCGCGCGCAGGCAGGUCUCUUAAAGACGGAUGAGAAAUCCACCGGGCUCAACCUGGUGAAGGGCCAUUGGAAACUUGGCAGAUCUAGAGGCCAAUAGAAGAACCGGUAGAAUUCCAGGUGGAAAUGCGGUGAAUAUCCGUAGAAAAUAUGGAGGAACACAGGGGGCCAAGUGCGACUUUCAGGGAUGAACACUGCACGCUAGAGGCGCGAAAGCGUGGGGAGCAAACAGGAUUAGAUACCCUGGUAGUCCACGCCGUAAACGAUGUGGUCUAGGUGGUAGGGGCUUUGCGCCGUGUAUUCCGGAAGUAACGCCUUAAGUCUCCCCCCUGGGGAGUUCGGCCCCAAGGUUAAAACUCAAAGGAAUUGGCGGGGGCCCCCCCAAGCGGUGGGGCAUGGGGUUUAAUUUGAAGCAACGGGAAAAACCUUUCCCGGUUUUGGCCUCCAUAGAACACCCCAGAGAUAAGGUUUUCCCUUUGGGGACUAGAGUGCCAGGUGGUCCAUGGUGUUGUCAAGUUGGGUUGGUGAAAUGUGGGGUUAAUUCCCCCACGGAGCCCACCCCUAUCUUUUAGUUCCCAUCAUUAAGUUGGGCACUCUAAGGAGACUGCCGGUGACAAACCGGAGGAAGGUGGGGAUGACGUCAAAUCAUCAUGCCCCUUAUGACUUGGGCUACACACGUGCUACAAUGGCGGAUACAAAGAGAAGCAACCUCGCGAGAGGAAGCUAAUCUCAUAAAGUGGUUCUCAGUUCGGAUUGUAGUCUGCAACUCGCCUCCAUGAAGUCGGAAUCGCUAGUAAUCGCGGAUCAGCAUGCCGCGGUGAAUACGUUCCCGGGCCUUGUACACACCGCCCGUCACACCCACGGGAGUUGGUAAGCACCAGAAGUCGGUGGGGUAACCUUUGGAGGCCAGCCUUCCUAAGGGGAGGUUA